GGCNGCUUUAACAUGCAAGUCGAACGGCAGCGCGGGGCAACCUGGCGGCGAGUGGCGAACGGGUGAGUAAUAUAUCGGAACGUACCCAAGAGUGGGGGAUAACGUAGCGAAAGUUACGCUAAUACCGCAUACGAUCCAAGGAUGAAAGCAGGGGAUCUUCGGACCUUGUGCUCCUGGAGCGGCCGAUAUCUGAUUAGCUAGUUGGUGAGGUAAAGGCUCACCAAGGCCACGAUCAGUAGCUGGUCUGAGAGGACGACCAGCCACACUGGAACUGAGACACGGUCCAGACUCCUACGGGAGGCAGCAGUGGGGAAUUUUGGACAAUGGGCGAAAGCCUGAUCCAGCAAUGCCGCGUGAGUGAAGAAGGCCUUCGGGUUGUAAAGCUCUUUUGUCAGGGAAGAAACGGUGAGGGCUAAUAUCCUUCGCUAAUGACGGUACCUGAAGAAUAAGCACCGGCUAACUACGUGCCAGCAGCCGCGGUAAUACGUAGGGUGCAAGCGUUAAUCGGAAUUACUGGGCGUAAAGCGUGCGCAGGCGGUUUUGUAAGUCUGACGUGAAAUCCCCGGGCUCAACCUGGGAAUUGCGUUGGAGACUGCAAGGCUAGAAUCUGGCAGAGGGGGGUAGAAUUCCACGUGUAGCAGUGAAAUGCGUAGAGAUGUGGAGGAACACCGAUGGCGAAGGCAGCCCCCUGGGUCAAGAUUGACGCUCAUGCACGAAAGCGUGGGGAGCAAACAGGAUUAGAUACCCUGGUAGUCCACGCCCUAAACGAUGUCUACUAGUUGUCGGGUUUUAAUUAACUUGGUAACGCAGCUAACGCGUGAAGUAGACCGCCUGGGGAGUACGGUCGCAAGAUUAAAACUCAAAGGAAUUGACGGGGACCCGCACAAGCGGUGGAUGAUGUGGAUUAAUUCGAUGCAACGCGAAAACCUUACCUACCCU
RNAcentral lists this ribosomal RNA (939 nucleotides) under Janthinobacterium sp. acr39. RNAcentral describes it as "bacterial SSU rRNA". It matches the Rfam family "Bacterial small subunit ribosomal RNA", at positions 41 to 981 of the family's 1533-position model. Lineage: Bacteria; Pseudomonadati; Pseudomonadota; Betaproteobacteria; Burkholderiales; Oxalobacteraceae. The record is from RNAcentral.